AUGUUUGAGCAGCGCUUGAAGGAUGCCAUCAAGCUGGUGGAGGAUGCCCGUGGCAAGCUCAUCCUCUUCAUAGACGAGAUGCACAUGAUUGUUGGUGCUGGCGACCGAGAUGGCACCGGGGACGCCGCCAACAUCCUCAAGCCGGCGUUGGCCCGUGGCCGCAUCCGUUGCAUAGGCGCUACCACAUCCGAAGAGUACCGCAGAUACAUCCAGAAGGAUGCGGCGCUCGAUCGGCGGUUCCAAAGGGUUGAUGUCGAGGAGCCGAGCGUGCCGGCGACCGUUGCCAUCCUGCAGGGGUUGAAGCACCGGUACCAAGACCACCAUGGACUGACAAUUCGCGACGAUGCUCUUGCUGCUGCUGCGCAGCUCGCUGGCCGCUAUAUUACCGGUCGCCAGUUUCCUGAUAAAGCAAUUGAUUUGAUGGACGAGGCAUGCACUACCGUGAAGUUGCAUAAGCAAAAAGAAGUUCAAAAUAAGGAUACUAACACUAUAAAUGCACCGGAAGAGUUAACCGUUGGUCCAUGCCAUAUUGCCCAGGUUGUGAGCCGAUGGACUAAAAUUCCGAUCACCACACUUGGUCGAGAGGAAGAGAAGUUGAGCCACCUAGCAGACAGAUUGCAUGAGAGGAUUGUUGGACAGUAUGAAGCGGUUAAUUUGGUUGCCCAAGAAGUGCUACGUUCUAGGGUCGGGUUUGAUCAAUCUGGCCAACCAAUUGGCUCUUUCCUCUUUUUGGGCCCGGCUGGUGUUGGAAAGACAGAGCUUGCGAAAGCACUUGCCGAUAAGUUGUUUGACAAUGAGAAGGCAUUAGUCCGCUUUGACAUGUCUGAAUAUGCCGAUAGUGGUUCUGUGUUACGUCUCAUUGGAGGACCUCGAAGGUUUAGCUUGUACACACAGAAAGUCAGGAGACAACCAUAUAGUGUCGUUCUUUUUGACGAGGUGGAUAAGGCACAUCCCUCAAUUUUCAAGGUUCUCAUUCAACUCCUCGAUGAUGGCACGUUGAUUGAUGGAAAGGAUCGGAACGUAUAUUUCAAGGACACUAUCAUAAUCAUGAGCUCUAAUCUUGGAGCCGAGAACCUAUCAGCUGGAACGGCUGGAGAAAACAUAGCCACUGCACGGGAUCUUCUCAUGAAACAGGUUGAGAAACGCCUUAAGCCUGAUUUUAUCAACAAACUGAGUGAAAUUGUGAUAUUUGAGGCACUUUCUCAUGACGAACUGAGGGAGAUCGUGAAAAUCCAGAUGAAGAGUGUCGUUGCUAUGGCCGCUAAGAAAGGCAUCUCUCUGUUUGCAACAGAUGCCGCCUUGGACAUCAUUUGGUCAGAAUCUCACGAUACGGUGUAUGGCGCAAGGCCUAUUAAGAGGUGGAUGAAGAAGAAUGUGACGAGAGUUCUUGUGGACAUGUUGGUCAAUGGAGAAGCGUGUCAAGGCUCAAUCAUCUGCAUCAAUGCCACUGACGACAAGAAGGGGCUGAAGUAG
This 1473-nucleotide ribosomal RNA is filed under the name Triticum aestivum (bread wheat). RNAcentral describes it as "partial small subunit ribosomal RNA". The record is from RNAcentral. Lineage: Eukaryota; Viridiplantae; Streptophyta; Magnoliopsida; Poales; Poaceae.